GCAGUGUUUAUUUCCCUCAGCACUUCCUGCUUCUCAGAUACUGAACAGAUUUUAAAUUAUUAUAAUUAAUUUAGGCUGCAUUGAUGAAAUUAGGAUAAAAUUUAUUAGUUUGUCUGUGGUUGAAUAGCAGAGCUUAUUUCUCUGGCAUUUCUACCAGCUCAGUUCCUCCUGGGUUGCUGUAGCUGGAAGCGGUAGCUAUUUCUUCCGAGUUCUCCUCUCUUCUCCCCUCCUCUCCCUUCCUCCACACCUCCCCUGACCUUCUGGGUCCCCCUACAUUAAAAGCACCCUGCAGAACAGAUUUGGCUUCAGGAAAAUAAUCGACUCAAAUCUUUCUCCUCCUCUUUUCCACCAUUCACACGGCACAAAGCACCAUAAGAAACUUCUUUUUUCUCCAUGUAUAAAUAAAGUUUAAUGGUGACAAAUUUGUAUAAGUUGAUUUCAAAAUGAUAAAAUGUAGACUCUGUGAAAAAAAGAUUUUCUUUAUGUUAGUAAGAGUUUAUGACAUGACAUGUUUGAUUUUUUCUUAUAAAAAGUCACAUACAAGUAUGGACGUGAAAACAUAAAUAAAAAGAUAAUAGUGAAACUGUAACUAAAACCACUACACAAAGAUAACCACUACUAAUAUUUUAGCAUGCAUAACUAAUUGCUUAUGUAUUUGUGAAUAUAGAGGGAAGAAAAUAGAUCUUCAAACUUUUUAAAACAUAAAGUACUGCCUUUAUAAUAAACAUUUUCAUUAUCACGUAGUACAAGAGCUUAAUGAUUUAUAACCUACUGAACAAUCGUCUUUUAACUCUGCAAGUUGUCUUGAAAAACCUCUCAUCACAAACACAGCUCAAGUCGGUGUUUUCGUGCACAAACCAUUGCAAACAUUGCAAUCAGUUCCUUGGGAUAGACCCUAAAGGCAGAGUUGAGAGUCAGUACCAAGUUAAUGGUGUCCUACAGGCCUUCCGGAGGAAGGUGACAGUCCCAAGAGUGGAGAUUUACCUGCUCCGUGAAGUUGGGAGGGAAGGGAGGUUGGCUGUUUGUAAACAGGAAAUGCCGUUCAAGGGGCUCACACUGAAAAGCGGUCUCAGAAACCCUAGGCACUCUGCACUCUUGAUUUUACCUCCUGGGGAGGGAACUUCCCUGUUGUCUAUUUUGCUCUUGCUCUACUUAUAUUUUUGUUUGAUUUUCAUUCCAAGUUUUUGGUGAGUCAAAAGAAGAAACAAUGUAAAUAAAAGGUAGCACUUGCUCUACUUUGCUUUUAAAAAACUAUUUAAACAAAUACAUGAAAGAGCUACAUUCAAAUCAAUAAGUUGCUACCUUAUUCCCUAACUCGGAAGAAACCAUACACACACACACACAGCUUGCUAAAUCUUUGUGCAAACCACUCAUCAUUCUAAUAUGAUUGAGCUCUAUUUUUGAUCUAACAACCUUAGAAGCUGUUUCUUGACUUCUGUCUAGUCAUCCAUCCCUUCUUAAAUUAUAAUACUAUUCUAAUUUUCUCUAUGGAUCUAUGCAAUCACAAACGAUAGACCUGAGUCUUUAUUCCUUGUCUCAUUAAUCUGAGAGAGAAUGUUUUGACACCAUUUUUAUAAAAGGUAGGAAUUCAUUUCCACCAUUCUUUCCUUCUUUUGCUAUUCAGUCUCUAUCCACUAUUCUUUCAUAUUUACAUGGUCAAAGUUAGAAAUGUUUUGUAUUUUUAAUUGUAAGUUUCCUUAUAGUGUCAAUAGCUUCACUUUAAAAUGGAUGUUGGUAUAAUGAGGAUACAUUGUAUAGAUGAUCAAGCAUUUAUCCACUGUUUGCAGUAAUCUAGUGCUUUGGGGUUUUUUUGUUUUUAGGGAGGGGGUUUGUUCCCCCUGAAGUUUUUCCACUAUGGUAAGGAGAAGAAGGCAUAGUUCACUUAUAAAAGAUGCAGAAAUGACCAUUUAGAAAUUCCCAUUGAGAAAGAAAAUGAAAUGUAAAUUCCUUCUUGCUUAUUGGGAAGAGAGAAUGCGAAGUACACAGGUCUACUUGCACAGAAGAUGUUCUGAUCAAGUCAGGUGAAGAUGAGCCUUGAGGAUGGAGCUUGUCAGCAAACUGCCAGACAGAUGUACACUGCCGGUACGAUGGUAGCAGGGUUUGUGUCGAUUGGCUCCUGCUCCCAGACAUGUGAUAUCUUGCUUCCAAGACUUGUUUCGGCUGUUAAUGGAAAUGCCUCUGUAGUUUCAAGGCUAAGUAUGAUCCUGUCUGUUGGCUUCAAGAGGUAGCCUUCAUUGUAAAGGCAGCAGAAGUCAGAAUGCAAGGCAAAUAAGUCAACAUGAAUAGGGAACUAACAGAGGUUCACAGCUAAAAGUUUACCUGGAUUCUCAGAAGAGACUUGGACUUUUGAAAAAUGCUGGAACUGUUGAGACUUUGGGAUGUGCCAUCUCAGGAAGAAAACUGGAGACAACCCCAUAACUUGGACUUUCACCACAGUGUUGCUGCCAGUUAAACUCUGACCUGUUACUGUCCCUCCCACAAGUCUUCCUUGACUACAUCAUUAUAAAAGAUAUUCUCCAAUAAUUACUCACUAGCCCAGUAUCUUGCUGUGUGUUUGUGUGUUUUUUAUUUAUAAUAAUAAUUAUUCCAAACUAGAGUAAUGAUAUUUAUUUGUUCUUUCUUCACGG
RNAcentral lists this long non-coding RNA (2627 nucleotides) under Heterocephalus glaber (naked mole-rat). RNAcentral's name for it is "lncRNA (ENSHGLG00000041093.1)". The record is from RNAcentral. Lineage: Eukaryota; Metazoa; Chordata; Mammalia; Rodentia; Bathyergidae.